UUUAUUUACUAUAACGAGUCGAACCUGCCCAGUGAUUUUAUUUAACGGCCGCAGUACUCUGACUGUGCAAAGGUAGCAUAAUCAUUUGCCUUAUAAUUAAAGGCUAGUAUGAAUGGUUUGACAAGAAUGACGCUGUCUCUUUCGAAUUUUAUAGAAUUUGGUUUUUAGGUGAAGAAACCUAAAUAAAAUUAAAAGACAAGAAGACCCUAUCGAGCUUAAAAUAAUUUUCUUUGUUAUUAGUUAAUACCAGCUUCGUAGAAAAAUUUUGGUUGGGGCGACUAAGGAACAUAAAAAGCUUCCUAUAAAAUAUACCUACGUUUACGUUUUGAUCCAAAACAUUUGAUUAACAGAAUUAGUUACCGUAGGGAUAACAGCAUAAUCUUUUUUGAGAGUUCUUAUCGAAAAAAAGGUUUGUGACCUCGAUGUUGGACUAGGGUACCCAGACAGGUGCAGAAGCCUUCGAUGGUUGGUCUGUUCGACCA
This 482-nucleotide ribosomal RNA is filed under the name Adriohydrobia gagatinella. Its description in RNAcentral is "partial 16S ribosomal RNA". It matches the Rfam family "Bacterial large subunit ribosomal RNA", at positions 1835 to 2587 of the family's 2925-position model. Lineage: Eukaryota; Metazoa; Mollusca; Gastropoda; Littorinimorpha; Hydrobiidae. The record is from RNAcentral.